Molecule: long non-coding RNA, 196 nt
Organism: Populus euphratica (Euphrates poplar)
Lineage: Eukaryota; Viridiplantae; Streptophyta; Magnoliopsida; Malpighiales; Salicaceae
Exons: 2
Source: RefSeq, a predicted model, not a curated record
ACCCUGUAUGUGUUUCGUUAUUGUGAUAUACCUGUUGUUCACUUCCAUCUCAAUGCUCCUGUUGUGGUGAGUCUAAGAAGCUGGCCCGUAAUUUUGCUGCCAGUAGUUCUAGACAAAAAUCAGAUGGCCGUUGUUACUCCUAUCAUAAGUGGUAGUAAUUGUGGUAGUUAUUAAAGCGGAUAAAAUUUUCUUUCGA